AAGGAGAAAAAGGCUAUGCCGUGUUUGGAUGGCCGAAAUAGUGGUUUAGGGGGAAAACCCAGUUGUUUACUGUAACGAAAGUAGGUCAAUUUUUACAGCACCAGUUUCCUCAAAGAUGGCUGGGAGGUCUGCUCGUUUGAAAACACAUCUAACUGUGCAGCAGCGAGAAUCCCAGUGUCGAGCUAAGUGGACCACAUCUCUUACUAUUAUAUUGGUUAGGUUAAUGGUAGACGAAGUUCACGGAGGGCAUAAGCAAAACAAGUCUUUUAGUAAGAAAGGUUGGAAAUGUAUAUGUGAUGAGUUUCAUAAAAGAACCGGUCUUACAUGGGAGAGGGAGCAAUUGAAGUAUCGCUAUGCUGCACUAAGAAAGCUUUUUGUUACUAUGAAGUUGCUACUUGAUCAUACUGAUUUCAAAUGGGAUGAAACUACAGGUUUAGUAACAGCAACAGAUGAAGCUUGGGACCGGUACAUCAAGGAACAUCCAGAUGUGGAGACCAUAAGGAGCACAGGCUGCCCAUUUUACAAGGGAUUGAGUGUGAUAUUUGCGGAUUCUGGAAGUAGAGGGACGUAUAAUGGAUCUAGUAUGAACAAGGACAGUCUCCCCAGUUCAUCAUCUCAUCCUCAACCUUCAACACUGUCCCAGGAAGAGUUGUCAUAUUCAGAGUCUGAAGAAGGUCCUGAUUCCAAUGAGCAAGAAAUUCUUCAAUCUGUGAGCUCACCUACUGAUACAUGUCGAAAGAGAAGGCGUAAGGGGGUUGAUGGUGCUAUUGCAAGAGCUAUAUCCGAGAUGGCUGCUGCUUCAAGACUUAGAGCUUCUGCUAUUGACAAGUACAGUGACAAUUUCACCAUAACCGACUGUAUUAGAGCGUUGGAUGAAUUGGAAGGUGUCAAUGACGAAGUAUAUUAUGCUGCUUUGGAUCUCUUCAACAAUCAUGCAGCUAGGGAGAUAUUCUUAUCUCUCAAUGUUGGGAAGCGGCUGACCUGGUUGAUUGGCAAAUUGUCUGGUCCUCCCUAAUUUAAAGGAUAAGUCCAACUAAUCUUGUUAUGUUCAAGUAAGCAGCCAUCUCCUAUCUCAAGUAGUCAUUUAUUGGUUUUUACAGAGCUGGAAGCUUCAUGUAUAGACCACAUUCUAUCUCUAUUUCUCCUUCUUGUUUUUUUUAUCUCCUUUUAACAACUAGGAGUAAGAAUAUGUUUCAGAAUUUGGCAACUGUGAGAUUGGCAGGAGUUGAAACUUGCUGCAUGAGGGAGCAUUUUGUUAAAAAUUUGAGCACACUUAUCAUGCAUUCGGAUGAAAUAUGGCAGUGUUUCUGUUCAGUAUUA
This is an RNA transcript of Solanum dulcamara, 1320 nucleotides long. It is a transcript of the gene named L10-interacting MYB domain-containing protein-like, with no coding region annotated. The transcript has 3 exons. Lineage: Eukaryota; Viridiplantae; Streptophyta; Magnoliopsida; Solanales; Solanaceae. The record is from RefSeq and is a predicted model, not a curated record.